GGUGGCUCAGUGGUAGAGUGCUUGCCUUGCAUGCAUGAGGUCCUGGGUUCAAUUCCUCAGUACCA
Molecule: non-coding RNA, 65 nt
Organism: Dipodomys ordii (Ord's kangaroo rat)
Lineage: Eukaryota; Metazoa; Chordata; Mammalia; Rodentia; Heteromyidae
Source: Rfam